AUCCCUAAUAUCAUUUUCUCUCCUAAGAAAAAAAAAGGUAAAAAUAUUUAGGAGGAAGGGGAAAAAAUAUACUACGCUACAAAACAAUAUUUAUUUUGGAUAAAAGGCUAUGAAAUAGAAGGUAAACCAAAUUAACAUAGCUUAUCAAUACAAUCUGAUGCAAUUCAACAAUGGUGAAGCAACAAGGACCUAGUUUUGAGAUUUCAUUUUAUUUAAUAUUGACAAACUAGAUUCCCAUUCACACAUCAUAAACCAUGGGAACCCAGAGCUUUCACCCUUUUAGUGUCAUCUAUUUCCUAGGGAUGGGACUCAUUGAGAUGGAAAGGCAAAUAUAUACAUACAUGCAUGCAUACAUGAGAAGAAAAGAGGUAUCUGAUCUUGAAUAAACCACAAUAAACCUGCACAUGAAAUGAGUAUUGAUAACAAGCUGGCUAAGGGAGGGAGUGGAAUUUUGAUAUACAAAUGAGUGUACACAAAUAAAAUGCUAGCAAAAGCACAUUUACCUAUACUACUCACCUGGCAAUCAAGCCCUCUGAGGA
Molecule: unclassified non-coding RNA, 539 nt
Filed under: Hevea brasiliensis (rubber tree)
Lineage: Eukaryota; Viridiplantae; Streptophyta; Magnoliopsida; Malpighiales; Euphorbiaceae
Source: RNAcentral